GAAGCUUCCUUCGGGAAGUGGAUUAGCGGCGGACGGGUGAGUAACACGUGGGUAACCUGCCUCAAAGUGGGGGAUAGCCUUCCGAAAGGAAGAUUAAUACCGCAUAACAUAAGAGAAUCGCAUGAUUUUCUUAUCAAAGAUUUAUUGCUUUGAGAUGGACCCGCGGCGCAUUAGCUAGUUGGUAAGGUAACGGCUUACCAAGGCAACGAUGCGUAGCCGACCUGAGAGGGUGAUCGGCCACAUUGGAACUGAGACACGGUCCAGACUCCUACGGGAGGCAGCAGUGGGGAAUAUUGCGCAAUGGGGGAAACCCUGACGCAGCAACGCCGCGUGGGUGAUGAAGGUCUUCGGAUUGUAAAGCCCUGUUUUCUGGGACGAUAAUGACGGUACCAGAGGAGGAAGCCACGGCUAACUACGUGCCAGCAGCCGCGGUAAUACGUAGGUGGCGAGCGUUGUCCGGAUUUACUGGGCGUAAAGGGUGCGUAGGCGGAUGUUUAAGUGGGAUGUGAAAUCCCCGGGCUUAACCUGGGGGCUGCAUUCCAAACUGGAUAUCUAGAGUGCAGGAGAGGAAAGCGGAAUUCCUAGUGUAGCGGUGAAAUGCGUAGAGAUUAGGAAGAACACCAGUGGCGAAGGCGGCUUUCUGGACUGUAACUGACGCUGAGGCACGAAAGCGUGGGUAGCAAACAGGAUUAGAUACCCUGGUAGUCCACGCCGUAAACGAUGGAUACUA
This 730-nucleotide ribosomal RNA is filed under the name bacterium enrichment culture. RNAcentral's name for it is "bacterial SSU rRNA". It matches the Rfam family "Bacterial small subunit ribosomal RNA", at positions 70 to 818 of the family's 1533-position model. The record is from RNAcentral.